UACGAAGGGGGCUAGCGUUGCUCGGAAUCACUGGGCUUAAAGGGCGCGUAGGCGGGUGCUCAAGUCCGGGGUGAAAUCCUCCAGCUCAACUGGAGAACUGCCUCGGAUACUGGGUGCCUCGAGGGUGGUAGGGGUACGCGGAACUAUCGGUGGAGCGGUGAAAUGCGUUGAUAUCGAUAGGAACUCCGGUGGCGAAGGCGGCAUACUGGACCACAUCUGACGCUGAGGCGCGAAAGCCAGGGGAGCAAACGGG
RNAcentral lists this ribosomal RNA (253 nucleotides) under uncultured bacterium. RNAcentral describes it as "partial 16S ribosomal RNA". It matches the Rfam family "Bacterial small subunit ribosomal RNA", at positions 524 to 776 of the family's 1533-position model. The record is from RNAcentral.